CCUACGGGGGGUAGCAGUGGGGAAUAUUGGACAAUGGGGGCAACCCUGAUCCAGCCAUGCCGCGUGUGUGAAGAAGGCCCUCGGGUUGUAAAGCACUUUCAGUGAGGAAGAACGCCUGGUGGUUAAUACCCAUCAGGAAAGACAUCACUCACAGAAGAAGCACCGGCUAACUCCGUGCCAGCAGCCGCGGUAAUACGGAGGGUGCGAGCGUUAAUCGGAAUUACUGGGCGUAAAGCGCGCGUAGGUGGCUUGAUAAGCCGGUUGUGAAAGCCCCGGGCUCAACCUGGGAACGGCAUCCGGAACUGUCAAGCUAGAGUGCAGGAGAGGAAGGUAGAAUUCCCGGUGUAGCGGUGAAAUGCGUAGAGAUCGGGAGGAAUACCAGUGGCGAAGGCGGCCUUCUGGACUGACACUGACACUGAGGUGCGAAAGCGUGGGUAGCAAACAGGAUUAGAUACCCCAGUAGUC
RNAcentral lists this ribosomal RNA (465 nucleotides) under Vreelandella stevensii. RNAcentral's name for it is "partial 16S ribosomal RNA". It matches the Rfam family "Bacterial small subunit ribosomal RNA", at positions 338 to 795 of the family's 1533-position model. Lineage: Bacteria; Pseudomonadati; Pseudomonadota; Gammaproteobacteria; Oceanospirillales; Halomonadaceae. The record is from RNAcentral.